UACGUAGGGUGCAAGCGUUAAUCGGAAUUACUGGGCGUAAAGCGUGCGCAGGCGGUUUUGUAAGUCUGUCGUGAAAGCCCCGGGCUCAACCUGGGAAUUGCGAUGGAGACUGCAAGGCUUGAAUCUGGCAGAGGGGGGUAGAAUUCCACGUGUAGCAGUGAAAUGCGUAGAGAUGUGGAGGAACACCGAUGGCGAAAGCGGCCCCCUGGCCCCGGUCCUGACGCUGAG
Molecule: ribosomal RNA, 228 nt
Filed under: uncultured bacterium
Lineage: Bacteria
Description: partial 16S ribosomal RNA
Rfam family: Bacterial small subunit ribosomal RNA
Source: RNAcentral